GUACCAGACUCCUACGGGAGGCAGCAGUGGGGAAUAUUGCACAAUGGGGGAAACCCUGAUGCAGCGACGCCGCGUGAGUGAAGAAGUAAUUCGUUAUGUAAAGCUCUAUCAGCAGGGAAGAAAAUGACGGUACCUGAGUAAGAAGCCCCGGCUAACUACGUGCCAGCAGCCGCGGUAAUACGUAGGGGGCAAGCGUUAUCCGGAUUUACUGGGUGUAAAGGGAGCGUAGACGGUUAUGUAAGUCUGGAGUGAAAGCCCGGGGCCCAACCCCGGGACUGCUUUGGAAACUGUGUAACUAGAGUACAGGAGGGGCAGGCGGAAUUCCUGGUGUAGCGGUGAAAUGCGUAGAUAUUAGGAGGAACACCAGUGGCGAAGGCGGCUUACUGGACAGUAACUGACGUUGAGGCUCGAAAGCGUGGGGAGCAAACAGGAUUAGAUACCCCGGUA
RNAcentral lists this ribosomal RNA (447 nucleotides) under uncultured bacterium. RNAcentral's name for it is "bacterial SSU rRNA". It matches the Rfam family "Bacterial small subunit ribosomal RNA", at positions 328 to 792 of the family's 1533-position model. The record is from RNAcentral.